AUGAAUAAUCUGAAGGAUCCAAAGACUAAGAUAUUUCCCUCAAGGAGGAGGGGAGGUAAGGAACUGCCAUCCAAUUCUGCUUUAGAUUCACCUUCUACUAUGAGUAAACUUGCAACACCACCACAUGCUAUUAAUCCUGAUAUGUCGCAAGUUAUUGAUGAUGCUACUUCUACUAUGAAUGAUGCUUAUGAUGAUGCUAGUACCUUGCUUGAUAAUGAUGAUGUGCCACUUGGUGAAUUUCUUGAUAGACCAAUUGCUAGAGUUAUACAACAUGAUGUUGUUGAAUCUGAUGAUGAGCUUGAAACUGAAACUCCUGAAACACCUGCUAGAACUAGCCUUCCUAGAUAUGAAUUGCCUAAGGUACCGGAAGGUUAUAUUAUGAGUGAAGAAGCAACUAGAGAUAUUCUUGCUUGCAAUGAUAGAGAUGAUCUAGAGAAAUUACUAUGCAAUUAUAAAGAAAAAUAUCUAAAUGCUAGAAUGAAAUGUGAUCCUAAGUUUGCUACUUCACCUAUCCUUAUUGAUGAUAAGGAUUAUGAAUUCUCUGUCGACCCAGAGUUAAUAACUUUGGUUGAAUCUGAUCCUUUCUAUGGUUAUAUAACUGAAACUGCUGUAGCACAUCCUACUAAGUUGAAUGACAUAGCCACCCUUUUUACACAUGAUGAGAAAACUCGCUAUUACUUUAUUAUCAAAUUAUUUCCUUUCUCAUUAAAGGGUGAUACUAAAGCUUGGUACAAUACUCUUGCUCCUGGUUGUGUGCGUAGUCCCCAUGAUAUGGUUUAUUACUUCUCUGAAAAAUAUUUUCCUGCUCAUAUGAAGCAAGCUGCCUUACAGGAAAUAUUUAACUUUGUGCAAACUAAAGAAGAGAGUCUCCCACAAGCUUGGGGAGGCUUUGCCUGA
RNAcentral lists this ribosomal RNA (897 nucleotides) under Triticum aestivum (bread wheat). RNAcentral's name for it is "partial small subunit ribosomal RNA". The record is from RNAcentral. Lineage: Eukaryota; Viridiplantae; Streptophyta; Magnoliopsida; Poales; Poaceae.